This is a non-coding RNA of Styela clava, 226 nucleotides long. The record is from RefSeq and is a predicted model, not a curated record. Lineage: Eukaryota; Metazoa; Chordata; Ascidiacea; Stolidobranchia; Styelidae.
UUUUCAUUGAACUAGUACUAGUAAAUAAAAAAAUUACUAAAAAAAAACUUUAAAUCUUCGUCGGCAUUGCAAAACAAAGAGGCAAUUUCAUGAUGUACAAAGCUUUUGUGAUUGGAUUGCAUUUUUCAACCUUAUUCGUGCUCUCCGUUCCAUCAGAGUUUUGCGUUUACAAGCUGAAAAAUGGAAAAUUAGUUCCUUCGAAAGGAUGCACGGAACCGGAUCAUGG